This 2267-nucleotide long non-coding RNA is filed under the name Capsicum annuum. RNAcentral's name for it is "long non-coding RNA (CANN_LNC004752)". Lineage: Eukaryota; Viridiplantae; Streptophyta; Magnoliopsida; Solanales; Solanaceae. The record is from RNAcentral.
GAGAGCAGCCGGAUCCAAAUUAAACAACUACAAAUUAGGAGAUAGACGAGUAUUAUUUUGCCUAGUCUAAACAAAAACUAAAGCGUCAGGGCUUGAAUGACAAAUUCCCAAUCACCAAUGAGGAGAGUUAAAAAUUGAGAGCACGAGUGAACUAGAGUUGGCAGGAGAUUGAGAGAGAAUUGUGGAUUUGUGAUGAGAAAAUUGAAAAGAUUGGGGGGAAACUAAAACAGAAAAUUAAAUACUGUAUAUUGUUGCUAAAAUUUACAAACAAUAAAAAUUAGUGCAGAAACACUAUACUUAGUCGACGCAUCAUGCCUACUUUAUGCUUUGUCUUGCUUAGAAGGCUACUAACUAUAUCAAGGUGACUGGUGUCCAAACAUAUAGCCCUCGGCAUACAAAACAGAUAUGCUGACCAGAUCGUGCUACACCUCUUCUUCUCGUUUCAUCAACACCAGUAGAGAAUGAAUGGUCCAAGUUCACCCUACAUUAGACUGGCACAGUUCGGUCCAUCUUUCUUGACUCGAGACCUCUUUCACCAAGGACUAAUUCAAAUGUCAUUACACAGGUGAGUAGUCCUCUAUUAUGCCGAGGAAUAUAAUAUAAGAAUAUAAGACUUUUAAGAGAUUCAUUUGGAACCGGACGAGAGUUGCGUGUUAAGAGAACAGAAGCUUCAAUAAUUCCAAUUGCUCGAUGUCACUUUCUCACUCAAUAAGAGAAUUACAGUGCUAUACUUUGUCAGCUGUUGAAUCAGGAACAGAUGCGAAAGAUGUAAGAAAUUCAAUGAGUUGCUGUCCCUCCAUAGCCAUGACUUUAGAUGGAUACAACUAUCAAUAAUUGUUCUUCAAUUUUUCAAUUACAAGUAAAUUCACCAUCUGAAGCUUUUGGGAGGAUGAACUGGUUUUAUUCAAUCAAAAAAAUAGAUUAUGUACAAAACGCCCAACAACCCAGGUUCCCACUACACUAAGUGAUGUAUUUGAUCCUUUUCCAUUAUAUUAGGUAAAUAUUUGGAUCAAAGUGUAAAUUUAAAAACUUUUGGGUUAUUCUCAAACUUAUCAAACUUUCUUAAUCCAUAAUAAAGUAAUUGUCACCUCCACUCAAUUAUGAAAACUUUUGUCACCUACACCUCAUUUUAAAGCUUUUUUGUCACCUACAGCUCAAAGCCCCAUGUUGCUAGGAUUGUGGAAUGAAUAAUAAUUUUUGAAACCAAAUAAUAUAAUUUCAUUAUUAUCUAAAUCAUGAUUAAAGAUUUUCUUUGAAUAAUUAAAUCUUAACCAUUAAAUUUAACAUUUGUCAUAUGUCAUAUUGAAGAGUGGGAAAUGGAGAGCAGCCGGAUCCAAAUUAAACAACUACAAAUUAGGAGAUAGACGAGUAUUAUUUUGCCUAGUCUAAACAAAAACUAAAGCGUCAGGGCUUGAAUGACAAAUUCCCAAUCACCAAUGAGGAGAGUUAAAAAUUGAGAGCACGAGUGAACUAGAGUUGGCAGGAGAUUGAGAGAGAAUUGUGGAUUUGUGAUGAGAAAAUUGAAAAGAUUGGGGGGAAACUAAAACAGAAAAUUAAAUACUGUAUAUUGUUGCUAAAAUUUACAAACAAUAAAAAUUAGUGCAGAAACACUAUACUUAGUCGACGCAUCAUGCCUACUUUAUGCUUUGUCUUGCUUAGAAGGCUACUAACUAUAUCAAGGUGACUGGUGUCCAAACAUAUAGCCCUCGGCAUACAAAACAGAUAUGCUGACCAGAUCGUGCUACACCUCUUCUUCUCGUUUCAUCAACACCAGUAGAGAAUGAAUGGUCCAAGUUCACCCUACAUUAGACUGGCACAGUUCGGUCCAUCUUUCUUGACUCGAGACCUCUUUCACCAAGGACUAAUUCAAAUGUCAUUACACAGGUGAGUAGUCCUCUAUUAUGCCGAGGAAUAUAAUAUAAGAAUAUAAGACUUUUAAGAGAUUCAUUUGGAACCGGACGAGAGUUGCGUGUUAAGAGAACAGAAGCUUCAAUAAUUCCAAUUGCUCGAUGUCACUUUCUCACUCAAUAAGAGAAUUACAGUGCUAUACUUUGUCAGCUGUUGAAUCAGGAACAGAUGCGAAAGAUGUAAGAAAUUCAAUGAGUUGCUGUCCCUCCAUAGCCAUGACUUUAGAUGGAUACAACUAUCAAUAAUUGUUCUUCAAUUUUUCAAUUACAAGUAAAUUCACCAUCUGAAGCUUUUGGGAGGAUGAACUGGUUUUAUUCAAUCAAAAAAAUAGAUUAUGUACAAAACGCCCAACAACCCAG